AUACGGAGGGUGCGAGCGUUAAUCGGAAUUACUGGGCGUAAAGCGUACGUAGGCGGUUGGUUAAGUUAGAUGUGAAAGCCCCGGGCUUAACCUGGGAACUGCAUUUAAAACUGGCGAACUAGAGUUGAGUAGAGGGGAGUGGAAUUUCAGGUGUAGCGGUGAAAUGCGUAGAGAUCUGAAGGAACACCAAUGGCGAAGGCGACUCCCUGGACUCGAACUGACGCUGAGGUACGAAAGCGUGGGUAGCAAACGGGAUUAGAAACCCUAGUAGUCC
RNAcentral lists this ribosomal RNA (274 nucleotides) under uncultured bacterium. Its description in RNAcentral is "partial 16S ribosomal RNA". It matches the Rfam family "Bacterial small subunit ribosomal RNA", at positions 523 to 796 of the family's 1533-position model. The record is from RNAcentral.